This 555-nucleotide long non-coding RNA is filed under the name Homo sapiens (human). RNAcentral describes it as "non-protein coding NUTM2B-AS1:28". Lineage: Eukaryota; Metazoa; Chordata; Mammalia; Primates; Hominidae. The record is from RNAcentral.
CAACCAUCUUUCCUGUGAAAAAUUCCCUCUCGUACUUUAGUUCUGUGGAUCCAAAAUUUAUAGCAUUCUUCUACCACCACAGGGGCUCAUAUGACAUUAACAGACAAGACACUUUUCAGAAAGACAGGUAAGUCAUUUGUUAAAAUCUCACUACUGUUGUUUAACAGAAACAUAUAUAUGCAUGUAUAUGUGUGUACUGUAUGGAAAAAGUGGAAUUAGAGUUUAUCUAGAAAAGAAAAAAUUACCUCAUCUAAGUGCAGAAAUGAAUAAUACUUAAACCAUACCAUACAAUUCUCUAUCAUAUUUCCACAGAUAAGUCAAAAAUUUAAAAAAUCUUAUUGUUCAUGCAUAAAUGCAGAAAACAAUACCUCUAGUAUAUGUUUGUGUUCUAUUGUACUUUCACAGAAGGUGUUUGAUACUUAAUACUGUGUUUAUUAAGAAAAAUCUUUGCAAUGGUUAUGGAAUUAAAAUUUCAUGUAAAAAUGAUUAUGUAGAUCAAGAAAAGUUGCAAUUUUCUGGAUUCCUGAUAUUUUAAAUAAAAGUAGUUUCCAAAGG